GGCCCGGUAGCUCAGUCGGUAGAGCAGAGGAUUGAAAAUCCUUGUGUCGACAGUUCGAUUCUGUCCCAGGCCA
RNAcentral lists this transfer RNA (73 nucleotides) under Aquaspirillum sp. LM1. It matches the Rfam family "tRNA". From Rfam's summary of the family: Transfer RNA (tRNA) molecules are approximately 80 nucleotides in length. The record is from Rfam by way of RNAcentral. Lineage: Bacteria; Pseudomonadati; Pseudomonadota; Betaproteobacteria; Neisseriales; Aquaspirillaceae.